This is a non-coding RNA of Acanthosepion pharaonis, 99 nucleotides long. The record is from the annotation of a GenBank genome assembly. Lineage: Eukaryota; Metazoa; Mollusca; Cephalopoda; Sepiida; Sepiidae.
CAUCUUGAAACACCAUUUCUCAUGUGAUUACAGAAGUUAAGCAAUGUUGAGCCUGAUCAGUACCUAGAUGGGUGACCUUUUGGGAAUAUCAAGUGCUGG